CGUAGAUGUAGUACUAACCACAAGCACUCACCAAACACUUUAAUUUGGCAAUCAGUGGGUGCAUGGUCCAAAUGUUGUAUCACUGAGCAGCAGCAAAUUUUGUUUUUUUCCAACUUUGUCCACUUCAUUUAUGCGUAUUAUUAACCCCAAAUUCUUCAACUUCUUCACACUGUUCUAUAAAUAAUUUAUGCCUGAUAAAUUAGCAUGGGCAGUUUAUUCAGUUAUUGUAUCUUUGUGUAAUACUUACAGUAUCUCACAAAAGUGAGUACACCCCUGACAUGUUUGUAAAUAUGUUAUUAUAUCUUUUCAUGUGACAACACAGAAGAAAUUACACUCUGCUACAAUGUAAAGCAGUAAGUGUUCAGCCUGUAUAACAGUGUAAAUUUGCUGUCCCC
Molecule: non-coding RNA, 395 nt
Organism: Pelobates cultripes (western spadefoot toad)
Lineage: Eukaryota; Metazoa; Chordata; Amphibia; Anura; Pelobatidae
Source: the annotation of a GenBank genome assembly